Non-coding RNA from Peromyscus maniculatus bairdii (prairie deer mouse), 1536 nucleotides. NCBI's taxonomy places the organism in Eukaryota, Metazoa, Chordata, Mammalia, Rodentia, Cricetidae. The record is from RefSeq and is a predicted model, not a curated record.
CUGGAACACGGGGAGCAGAUGGGGAGGGGAAGCUGUGGGUAGAAGAUUCUGUCGCGGUUUAGGCAGCAAGAGAUGGAGGAGGGCAGGCAAGGAGGCUCUGAUUUAGUUAACCCAAGGAAGGAUGAUGCAUAGGUCCACAAGACCCCCAAGAUGCCAGAGCACAGAGAAUCUAUACAACAGGGCUGAGUGCGGUACAUGCCAGCAAUAUUAGCACUUGGGAGAUGGAGUGAGCAACACCAGCCAGUGACCAUUGUCAGCCAGUGAAUGGCAUCAUCCAGUGAGCGGUGUCAGCCAGUGAGCAAUGUCAUCCAGUGACCAUUGUCACCCAGUGAGCGGCAUCAGCCAGGUCUCGGAGUUUCACAGUGCUAUCAAAUAUCCCACAACACAUGGAUAUCUUUGGAGAGUCCUUCUUUUGCCUACCUCAACCAGCUUGAAGAGUCUCCACUUCUGGCUGCUUUCCCUCACUCCACCCCAGGCUGAAUUUGUAAGAUUCCCAUAUAUUAAGAACUAUGCCUUCUUGGAGUGUUUCUUGCGGGAGACUGAAAAUCCCACCAGGACAGAAACCACUCAAAUACAUCUCCACACUCCAAGUGCCCAACAUGGCAUUGGGCAUAUAGGACAAGCUAAUGGGCCUUUCCGAAUAAAUGAAUAAACUCUGGUUGCUUUUAGUAAUAAGAGCACAUUAAGCUAUCUAUAUAUAUGACAAGAAAACUUUUUAUAAUCCUAUUCAAUUUUGUUGUUGUUGUUGUUGUUGUUGUUGUUGUUGUUGAAAGAGGGUUUUACCUCAUACCCAUGCUAGCCUCAUAUUCACUGGGUACUCAGGCUGGCCUUGAACUCACAGCAAUCCUUCUGACUCAAUUGCUUGAAUGCUUGGAUUGCAGGCAUAUUCAUCAAGUCCUAUCUGGCCUCUUGAAAAAUACUAAAUCAAUAUGUUAUAAUGCACAUAGGUAUCAUUUCUAGUCUUCACACCCAUCCCCCAGAUGUCCAAAACCAAUGGCUAGGCUUCUGUGUGUUACAUAUGCUUUAAUAUCUACCAGCUAAACAUAUUCAUGCAAGAGCACUUAGACAUGAAUGUCAUCAGUGUUUCUACUGUAACCAGAGGCUUUUCUCUGUCUCAUCUCAUCCCAUAGCCACUUCUAAAUAAGCAUUCAGAGGCUUAUAUUAAUUGUAAAUGCUUGGCCAAUGGCUCAGGCUUGUUACUAGCUAGCUCUUACAUUUAAAUGAACACAUUUCUAUUAAUCUAUAUUUCGCCACAUGAUGCUGUGGCAUUACCUGUUCUCUAGUAUAUCUUGUUGCUCUGGCAGCUCACUGGAAUCUGUUCUGACUCUGCCUUCCUCUUCCUAGAAUUCUCCUAGUCUGACUGUCAUGCUAAAUCUCUUCCUGCCCAGCCAUCAGCCAAUCAGCUUUAUUAUUAACAACAAGUAUAAUCCACAUCACCUCCCCCUUAUUGUCUAAUUAAAAAGGAAGAUUUUAACUUUAACAUAGUAAAAUUACAUACAACAAAACAGUUAUCAAGCAAGAAUUAUAGUUACAAUA